Molecule: ribosomal RNA, 487 nt
Filed under: uncultured Turicibacter sp.
Lineage: Bacteria; Bacillati; Bacillota; Erysipelotrichia; Erysipelotrichales; Turicibacteraceae
Description: bacterial SSU rRNA
Rfam family: Bacterial small subunit ribosomal RNA
Source: RNAcentral
AGAGUUUGAUCCUGGCUCAGGAUGAACGCUGGCGGCGUGCCUAAUACAUGCAAGUCGAGCGAACCACUUCGGUGGGAAGCGGCGAACGGGUGAGUAACACGUAGGUGAUCUGCCCAUCAGACGGGGACAACGAUUGGAAACGAUCGCUAAUACCGGAUAGGACGAAAGUUUAAAGAUGCUCCUGGCAUCACUGAUGGAUGAGCCUGCGGCGCAUUAGCUAGUUGGUGGGGUAAAGGCCUACCAAGGCGACGAUGCGUAGCCGACCUGAGAGGGUGAACGGCCACACUGGGACUGAGACACGGCCCAGACUCCUACGGGAGGCAGCAGUAGGGAAUCUUCGGCAAUGGGCGAAAGCCUGACCGAGCAACGCCGCGUGAAUGAAGAAGGCCUUCGGGUUGUAAAAUUCUGUUAUAAGGGAAGAAAGGUGAUAGGAGGAAAUGACUAUCAAUUGACGGUACCUUAUGAGAAAGCCACGGCUAACUGCGUG